Molecule: non-coding RNA, 202 nt
Organism: Pelobates cultripes (western spadefoot toad)
Lineage: Eukaryota; Metazoa; Chordata; Amphibia; Anura; Pelobatidae
Source: the annotation of a GenBank genome assembly
CCCCACAUCACUUCUUCUACUUCUUUUGCCAACUCUUUCUUUCUUUUUUCCUUCCUCUGACCACACAUAGCAUUUCCUAUAAUGCUAUCAGCAUGGCGUAGCUAUCACCAUCUUCUCUUUUACCAUUUGUAAUUACCUUGUAUUCUAAAAUAAGCAAUGCAAAUUGUAUUACAAAAAAUAUUUUAUCAGGACGAUAUUAAUG